This 253-nucleotide ribosomal RNA is filed under the name uncultured bacterium. Its description in RNAcentral is "partial 16S ribosomal RNA". It matches the Rfam family "Bacterial small subunit ribosomal RNA", at positions 524 to 776 of the family's 1533-position model. The record is from RNAcentral.
UACGAAGGGGGCUAGCGUUGCUCGGAAUCACUGGGCGUAAAGGGCGCGUAGGCGGGUCUUUAAGUCAGGGGUGAAAUCCUGGAGCUCAACUCCAGAACUGCCUUUGAUACUGAAGAUCUUGAGUCCGGGAGAGGUGAGUGGAACUGCGAGUGUAGAGGUGAAAUUCGUAGAUAUUCGCAAGAACACCAGUGGCGAAGGCGGCUCACUGGCCCGGUACUGACGCUGAGGCACGAAAGCGUGGGGAGCAAACAGG